This 349-nucleotide unclassified non-coding RNA is filed under the name fungal sp. RNAcentral's name for it is "partial internal transcribed spacer region". The record is from RNAcentral. Lineage: Eukaryota; Fungi.
AAGUGUCUCUAGGUGAACCUGCGGAGGGAUCAUUAACACGUAUCCAGCGUUAACCCCCCUGAACUGUUAGAGUGCUCUUGCAGCCUCGAAAGGAACAUCAAUCCUGGUAAAUCAGUCCGAGAACAGUUUGAUUCAGGACCUCUGUCUAAAGGAUGCAAUUGAGCGCUCGGGCAAGUGGCUUGGUUCCCAGGCAGUUACCAUUUGAAAGUGUCGCUAAUUGUGCAAGGAGGCCAUACACCGGCCGGUGACUCGCGACCACCGGGCUCACGCCGCCUAAUUCCAGAGCGGACUCUGGGCGGAGCUUACGUCCAAAACCGAACAACUGUUACCAACGAAUGUCUUGGUUCUU